UACGUAGGGGCAAGCGUUGUCCGGAUUUAUUGGGCGUAAAGCGUGCGCAGGCGGCUUUGUAAGUCAGAUGUGAAAUCCCCGGGCUUAACCUGGGAACUGCGUUUGAAACUACAAGGCUAGAGUGUGGCAGAGGGGGUGGAAUUCCACGGUGUAGCAGUGAAAUGCGUAGAGAUGUGGAGGAACACCGAUGGCGAAGGCAGCCCCUGGGUUAACACUGACGCUCAGGCACGAAAGCGUGGGAGCAAACAG
RNAcentral lists this ribosomal RNA (249 nucleotides) under uncultured bacterium. RNAcentral describes it as "partial 16S ribosomal RNA". It matches the Rfam family "Bacterial small subunit ribosomal RNA", at positions 524 to 775 of the family's 1533-position model. The record is from RNAcentral.